UCAGGAUGAACGCUGGCGGCGUGCCUAAUACAUGCAAGUCGAGCGAAUGGAUUAAGAGCUUGCUCUUAUGAAGUUAGCGGCGGACGGGUGAGUAACACGUGGGUAACCUGCCCAUAAGACUGGGAUAACUCCGGGAAACCGGGGCUAAUACCGGAUAACAUUUUGAACCGCAUGGUUCGAAAUUGAAAGGCGGCUUCGGCUGUCACUUAUGGAUGGACCCGCGUCGCAUUAGCUAGUUGGUGAGGUAACGGCUCACCAAGGCAACGAUGCGUAGCCGACCUGAGAGGGUGAUCGGCCACACUGGGACUGAGACACGGCCCAGACUCCUACGGGAGGCAGCAGUAGGGAAUCUUCCGCAAUGGACGAAAGUCUGACGGAGCAACGCCGCGUGAGUGAUGAAGGCUUUCGGGUCGUAAAACUCUGUUGUUAGGGAAGAACAAGUGCUAGUUGAAUAAGCUGGCACCUUGACGGUACCUAACCAGAAAGCCACGGCUAACUACGUGCCAGCAGCCGCGGUAAUACGUAGGUGGCAAGCGUUAUCCGGAAUUAUUGGGCGUAAAGCGCGCGCAGGUGGUUUCUUAAGUCUGAUGUGAAAGCCCACGGCUCAACCGUGGAGGGUCAUUGGAAACUGGGAGACUUGAGUGCAGAAGAGGAAAGUGGAAUUCCAUGUGUAGCGGUGAAAUGCGUAGAGAUAUGGAGGAACACCAGUGGCGAAGGCGACUUUCUGGUCUGUAACUGACACUGAGGCGCGAAAGCGUGGGGAGCAAACAGGAU
This 774-nucleotide ribosomal RNA is filed under the name Bacillus cereus. RNAcentral describes it as "bacterial SSU rRNA". It matches the Rfam family "Bacterial small subunit ribosomal RNA", at positions 24 to 778 of the family's 1533-position model. Lineage: Bacteria; Bacillati; Bacillota; Bacilli; Caryophanales; Bacillaceae. The record is from RNAcentral.